GAAAAUAAAGUAUAUGUGUAUUUUUUAUUUACAAUAAAAGGGUCUAAUUUUAGUAUUUUCA
Molecule: transfer RNA, 61 nt
Filed under: Ancylus fluviatilis
Lineage: Eukaryota; Metazoa; Mollusca; Gastropoda; Ancylidae
Description: tRNA-Val
Source: RNAcentral